ACUUCAUAUAUUACUUGGAAAGAUUAGUGACACACGUUUAGAAACAAAGGGAUGUUUUAAAAGACCCACUUUUCCAAAGAUCCAUGGGCUAUUUAGUAACAUAAAUGUUACUAUCUCAUGAAUUUGAUAUAUCAUGACUGUAAAAGUGAGAAGGAACAAAGGCAUUCAUUAACAGAUGAGUGGUUCACCUAAAACCAAUAAAAUCAAAUGGGAGUUUUGCUAUAGACUUUUACACAACAUGAACUUAGUCCUCUGAUUGUAUGUCUUUCACUUUGCAUGUUUGUUUAAAUCGCAAAAUGCAAGGUAGUUGCCUCCAGUGCAUUGAGAAAACACAAAAUUGAAAUCUGGCUGGUGUUGCCAUGUUAUUUUUCAUAUUUUACGUAAUGGUGGUAUAUUAGUUCCGGUCACUGAUGAUGCAGAACAAAUAUGAACUAAAAGCUGCAUUUUUUAACUGAAUUAUCUAUUUUAAUUAUGCAUUUUUCUGUCAUUUUAUUUGUGGUUGGCCUUAUUAUUCUGAGUUUGGAUUCCAACAAGGCUGCUAAGUUUCUGUUCUACAGAUCUGGCAGCUGCUACUCCUAGCACUUGUGGAUAACCCUUCAAGUAACAAACUUUGUCAAUUUGUGCAAGAGGAAAUAUAAUAUUCUCAGCAGGACACAGAUUUGUGAAAAUGGCUGAAUGUGAAGCAAACACUUGUAAUCAUUCUACAAAGUGCAACAGGGAGCCACUGAUGCAUACAGAGAUAUGUUUUUCAGCAUCUUGUAACAGACUAUUUCUUAAGGUUGUAAUCGCAGAGUCCUUUGUUAAUACAGUGCUCCUAUUGCAGAUUGUAUGAGAGCACAGGUCAUUGCUUCCUACCUUAGCUGACUGCCUUGGAAGGACUAGCACACUUUUGAACAGGAAAUUGUCUACAAAUAAUGUUUAGCUGUGCACUUGGUGAAAUUCACUGCCAUAAUGUGCUCUCAUGACAAAUGGUUUAUCUCACUUCUCAUUAAAUAAGUCCAAAACCUAAUUUCUCAGACACUUAGACAACUUAUUCAGCUGUCCUCAAAUGGGAAAACAUUGCAACUUGAGAAAACAAGGAUUUAUCACAGGUCAACUUAAAGCCACUAAAAUGGAAGAAUAAUGCAAUCUUGCCAAACCCAUGCACUUUCAAGCAGAGACAAUCUAAUGAUUCAAAGAGAAUAUAAAAUACACCAAACACUGCAAAUUUAGAGGAUGCAGUGCUGAAUUUAGAUGUAUUAUUCACAAGCACAUAUUUCAAAAAAAGCUAAUAAAAUCGGAAUUGAUCAAUCAUCCCAUGGGGCUCAAAGAAUGAAGGACAGGCACCAGUAAGAACCAUGAUAAAUGGAUUGGAGUAUAUAAUGGACAGUGUGCUGCAGCAUAUGGAGGGCUACACUGAACCGAUGUUUACCCUGUGGAUGCAAGUUUUCUGUGGGCAUCAUUACUCAGCUAAGAGGUUGAAAUAUUCAGAAUCAAAGAUGAACAAAUGGCUGCCCAAUUAAAAUGAAGGUGAGUGUGAUCUAUGUAUUUGUUCUUCUUCAUACUGAUUCCUGAAAGUAAAAGUCCAGAACCGAUAUGGCAUUUGCAAGAGAACAACAACGAAUCAUGGACGCGGGUGGCGCUGUGGGUAAAAGCCUCAGCGCCUAGGGCUUGCCGAUCGAAAGGUCGGCGGUUCGAAUCCCCCGCGGU
This is a non-coding RNA of Podarcis muralis (Common wall lizard), 1689 nucleotides long. Lineage: Eukaryota; Metazoa; Chordata; Lepidosauria; Squamata; Lacertidae. The record is from RefSeq and is a predicted model, not a curated record.